RNAcentral lists this long non-coding RNA (455 nucleotides) under Homo sapiens (human). RNAcentral's name for it is "HSALNT0033329". Lineage: Eukaryota; Metazoa; Chordata; Mammalia; Primates; Hominidae. The record is from RNAcentral.
AUAUAUACAUUUCUCACCUAUGUGCCUAAUUUUAAAAGCAAAUAUUUUCUGGCUAAACUUUUGAGGGGGGAUGGGUUUUCUAGGACCCUGGGAAACUGGAGACCUGAAGAGUUUUGGGGGACACUUGAACACUGACUUUGGUGUUUUCCCCUGGUUGAGGAUGGCCCUAUUGAUACUGAGUUUCUAGAACUAGAGGAUCCUAAACAUUCAUUGUAAUGAAAGCAGAUAGAUUGUGAGCAUAAUUACUCCAGAAUGUUGAUGUAAAGCUGAGAGUAAAUGGGUAGUUUCUUACAACUAAUUGUUCAGUGUCACCAGCACACCUCACUGAGGGGGAAACUGUCCACCAGCACGCUGCAUCCAGCCCUGCUCUGUGAGACCACCUCAUUCCCAUUCAGUCUCUUUGUUGGCCAGGAGUCCAUAAUGGUGUGUGCAUGUGGGGGAGGGGGAUCUUUUCC